This 4238-nucleotide unclassified non-coding RNA is filed under the name Bos taurus (domestic cattle). Its description in RNAcentral is "WC1 isolate DV10". The record is from RNAcentral. Lineage: Eukaryota; Metazoa; Chordata; Mammalia; Artiodactyla; Bovidae.
AUGGCUCUGGGCAGACACCUCUCCCUGUGGGGAAUCUGUGUCCUCCUCCUCGGCACCGUGGUGAGUGGUCAAGCUGCAAGUCUGAGGCUGAAGAAUGGAGGUCGCCGCUGUGAGGGGAGAGUGGAAGUGAAACACCAAGGAAAAUGGGGCACAGUGAAUGAUCACAAGUGGAGCUUAGAAGAGGCAUCUGUGGUGUGCAGACGGCUGGGGUGUGGAGCUGCUAUUGAUGCUCCCCAAGGAUCUUAUUUUGGACCAGCAUUUGGCCCCAUUUGGUUUUCUUAUAUUUCCUGCAGAGGGACAGAGUCAGCUCUCAAGCAGUGUAGGAGUUCUACAUUGAAAGACUAUUGUCCUCAGGGUUACUCCCAUGCCCAUGAUGCUGGAGCAGUUUGCUCAGGAUUUAUGCGUCUAGCUGAAGGAGAUGGACCCUGCUCAGGGCGAGUAGAAGUUCAUUCUGGAGAAGACUGGACCACAGUGUCUGAUAGAAACUUUACAUUCCCCACUGCCCAGGUCAUCUGUGCAGAGCUGGGAUGUGGCAAGGUUGUGUCUGUCCUGGGACACGUGCCCUUCGGAGAGUCAGGUGGCCAGGUCUGGGCUGAAGAGUUCAGGUGUAAAGGGGAGGAGCCUGAGCUCUGGUCCUGCCCGAGAGUGCCCUGUCCAGGAGGCACUUGUCACCACAGUGGAGUUGCCCAGGUUGUCUGUUCAGUGUACACAGAAGUCCGACUCAUGAAAAAUGGCUCCUCUCAGUGUGAGGGGCAAGUGGAGAUGAAUAUUUCUGGACGAUGGAGAGCACUCUGUGCCUCCCACUGGAGUCUGGCCAAUGCCAAUGUUGUCUGUCGUCAGCUCGGCUGUGGAGUCGCCAUCUCCACCCCCAGAGGACCACACUUUGUGGAAGGAGGUGAUCAGAUCUCAACAGCCCGGUUUCACUGCUCAGGGGCUGAGUCCUUCCUGUGGAGUUGCCCUGUGACUGCCCUGGGUGGUUUUGACUGUUCUUAUGGAAACACGGCCUCUGUGAUCUGCUCAGGAAACCAGACCCAGGUGCUGCCCCAGUGCAACGACUCCCGCUCGGAACCAGCAGGCUCUGCAGCCUCAGAUGAGAGCGCCCCCUACUGCUCAGACAGCAGACAGCUCCGCCUGGUGGAAGGAGGCGGUCCCUGCGCCGGGAGAGUGGAGAUCCUUGACCAGGGCUCCUGGGGCACCAUCUGUGAUGAUGGCUGGGACCUAGACGAUGCCCGCGUGGUGUGCAGGCAGCUGGGCUGUGGAGAAGCCCUCAAUGCCCCAGGGUCUGCUCACUUUGGGGCAGGAUCAGGACCCAUCUGGCUGGGCGACCUGAACUGUACAGGAAAUGAGUCUCAUGUGUGGAGGUGCCCUUCCCAGGGUUGGGGGCGGCACAACUGCAGACACAAGCAGGAUGCGGGGGUCAUCUGCUCAGAGUUCCUGGCCCUCAGAAUUGUGAGUGAGGAUAAGCAGUGUGCUGGGUGGCUGGAAGUUUUCUACAACGGGACCUGGGGCAGUGUCUGCCGAAGCUCCAUGAAAGACAUCACUGUGUCCAUCAUCUGCAGUCAGCUUGGCUGUGGGGACAGUGGAAGUCUCAACUCUUCUGUUGCUCUUAGAGAAGGUUCUAGACCCCGGUGGGUAGAUGGAAUCCAGUGUCGGAACACUGAUACCUCUCUCUGGCAGUGUCCUUCUGACCCUUGGAAUUGCAGUUCAUGCUCUCCAAAGGAGGAAGCCUACAUCUCAUGUGCAGGCAGCAGACAGCUCCGCCUGGUGGACGGAGGCGGUCCCUGCGCCGGGAGAGUGGAGAUCCUUGACCAGGGCGCCUGGGGCACCAUCUGUGAUGACGGAUUUGUGCGUCUGGCUGGAGGAGAAGGACCCUGCUCAGGGCAAGUAGAAGUGCAUUCUGGAGAAGACUGGACCCCAGUGUCUGAUGGAAACUUCACACUUCCCACUGCCCAGGUCAUCUGUGCAGAACUGGGAUGUGGCAAGGCUGUGUCUGUCCUGGGACAUGUGCCCUUCAGAGAGUCUGAUGGCCAGGUCUGGGCUGAAGAGUUCAGGUGUAAAGGGGAGGAGCCUAAACUCUGGUCCUGCCCCAGAGUGCCCUGUCCAGGGGGUGCUUGUCACCACAGUGGAGUUGCUCAGGUUGUCUGUUCAGUGUAUGCAGAAGUCCGGCUCAUGACAAACGGGACCUCUCAGUGUGAGGGGCAGGUGGAGAUGAACAUUUCUGGACGAUGGAGAGCACUCUGUGCCUCCCACUGGACUCUGGCCAAUGCCAAUGUUGUCUGUCAUCAGCUCGGCUGUGGAGUUGCUAUCUCCACCCCUAGAGGACCACGCUUUGUAGAAGGAGGAGAUCAGAUCUCAACAGUCCGAUUUCACUGCUCGGGGGCUGAGUCCGUCUUAUGGAUGUGCCCUGUGACUGCCCUGGGUGGUUUUGACUGUUCCCUUGGAAACACAGCCUAUGUGAUCUGCUCAGGAAAUCAGACCCAGGCAUUGCCCCAGUGCAAUGACUCCCUGUCAGAACCAGCAGGCUCUGCAGCCUCAGAGGAGAGCGCCCUCUAUUGCUCAGACAGCAGACUGCUCCGCCUGGUGGAUGGGGGCGGUCACUGUGCUGGGAGAGUGGAGAUCCUUGACCAGGGCUCCUGGGGUACCAUCUGUGAUGACGGCUGGGACCUGGACGAUGCCCAUGUGGUGUGCAGGCAGCUGGGCUGUGGAGAAGCCCUCAAUGCUACGAGCUCUGCUCACUUUGGGGCAGGAUCAGGGCCCAUCUGGCUGGAUGACCUGAACUGCACAGGAAAUGAGUCUCACUUGUGGAGGUGCCCUUCCCGAGGCUGGGGGCAGCACGACUGCAGACACAAGGAAGAUGCAGGGGUCAUCUGCUCAGAGUUCGUGGCCUUCCGGAUGGUGAGCGAGGACCAGCAGUGUGCUGGGUGGCUGGAAGUUUUCUACAACGGGACCUGGGGCAGUGUCUGCCGCAGCCCCAUGGAAGACAUCACUGUGUCCAUCAUCUGCAGACAGCUUGGCUGUGGGGACAGUGGAAGUCUCAACUCCUCUGUUGCUCUUAGGGAAGGUUCGAGACCCCACUGGGUAGAUGGAAUCCAGUGUCGGAAAACUGAUACCUCUCUCUGGCACUGUCCUUCUGACUUUUGGAAUUACAACUCAUGCUCUCCAAAGGAGGAAGCCUACAUCUCGUGUGCAGGAAGAAGACCCGAGAGCUGUCCAACUGCUGCCCCCUGCACAGACAGAGAGAAGCUCCGGCUCAGGGGAGGAGACACCGAGUGCUCUGGGCGGGUGGAGGUCUGGCACAGCGGCUCCUGGGGCACUGUGUGCGAUGACUCCUGGAGCCUGGCAGAGGCUGAGGUGGUGUGUCAGCAGCUGGGCUGUGGCCAGGCCCUGGAAGCCAUGCAGGCCGCGACAUUCGGCCCUGGAAAUGGGAGCAUCUGGCUGGACGAGGUGCGGUGCAGGGGCCAGGAGUCCUCCCUGUGGGACUGUGCUUUGGAGCCCUGGGGGCAGAGCGACUGCAAGCAUGAGGAGGAUGCUGGUGUGAGGUGCUCUGGUGCAAGGACAACAUUGCCCCCAAGUACUGCAGGGACAAGAACAACCUCAAAUCCUCUCCCUGGCAUCUUCUCCCUGCCUGGGGUCCUCUGCCUCAUCCUGGGGGCCCUUCUCUUCCUGGUCCUCAUCAUCCUGGUGACUCAGUUGCUCAGAUGGAGAGCAGAGCGCAGAGCCUUAUCCAGCUAUGAAGAUGUUCUUGCUGAAGCUGUGUAUGAGGAGCUCGAUUACCUUGUGACUCAGAAGGAGGGUCUUCUGGGCAGCCCAGAUCAGAGGAUUGAUGCCCCUGGUGAGGAUUACGAUGAUGCUGAAGAGGUACCAGUGCUUGGGGUUCCUCUUGCUUCACAGGGGAGGGAAGAGGAAGAGCUCCCAGAGAAGGAAGAUGGGAUCAGGCCCUUUCAGACAGGCUCUUUUCUAAAUGUCUCUAGAGAGGAAGCUAAUCCUGGGGAAGGAGAAGAGAGCCCCUGGCUGCUCCAGGGGGAGAAAGGGGACCCUGGGUAUGAUGAUGUUGAACUCAGUGUCCCGGGAACAUCUUCAGUGACUUUCUCGUGAUGUUGUAUUAAAUAUGAGAUGAAGCCUCAGAUAUUCUAAUUGUUUGUAUUUCAAUAGAGUAAUGCUGACCUGUAGUUGUGUUACAUGAAAAUUGCUCAAAAUGAAAUAUUCUGAAUAAAGUAACGUUUUUGCUUUGUUGAUAA